Budorcas taxicolor (takin) is the source of this 429-nucleotide long non-coding RNA. RefSeq lists it as uncharacterized. The transcript has 3 exons. The record is from RefSeq and is a predicted model, not a curated record. Lineage: Eukaryota; Metazoa; Chordata; Mammalia; Artiodactyla; Bovidae.
AAAAGCCAUCAAGGAGCUAGGCAGAAGCCCCAACUGUAUUGAGGAGGAAAAACCAGAGGAUGUCCUGUCCUGGAUUCAAGUGACAAGAGUCUUUCCAAGAAGGAAGCAAGAGGGAUCAGCCAUGCCCAGUGCUGCUGGGUCUACCCCCAGAGUGUUCUGUGAAUAUUACUCCCUUCCGCAAGCUGGUAUCACCAACGCAGCCAAGGAGCCAGGCCCUGAACCGUCCUGACUGGCCCCAGCCUGCUCCAUGCCCCAGAGGAGUCCCACAGUGCUUCCGGAGCUGCAGCGGGUGAAAUACCGCGGCUGUUGUGUUUUUAACCACUGAACCAACGUGAUGCAUUAAGGUAGCUGAUGGUGUCACAGGCAUCCGGGCCCUCUGGGAGCUGAUAUAUUUUUUCAACCCUGCUCUGCCUGCCAGCUAGUAGACAC